This is a transfer RNA of Fistulina hepatica ATCC 64428, 102 nucleotides long. It matches the Rfam family "tRNA". From Rfam's summary of the family: Transfer RNA (tRNA) molecules are approximately 80 nucleotides in length. Their secondary structure includes four short double-helical elements and three loops (D, anti-codon, and T loops). Further hydrogen bonds mediate the characteristic L-shaped molecular structure. tRNAs have two regions of fundamental functional importance: the anti-codon, which is responsible for specific mRNA codon recognition, and the 3' end, to which the tRNAs corresponding amino acid is attached (by aminoacyl-tRNA synthetases). tRNAs cope with the degeneracy of the genetic code in two manners: having more than one tRNA (with a specific anti-codon) for a particular amino acid; and 'wobble' base-pairing, i.e. permitting non-standard base-pairing at the 3rd anti-codon position. Lineage: Eukaryota; Fungi; Basidiomycota; Agaricomycetes; Agaricales; Fistulinaceae. The record is from Rfam.
GGGUCCCUGGCGCAAUGGUUAGCGCAUUCGGCUUCGAUCGCCACUCUAUCCCUGUGGAUAGGAGUUACCGAAAGGCUGCAGGUUCGAGUCCUGCGGGGCUCG